AAUGAACGCUGGCGGCAGGCCUAACACAUGCAAGUCGAACGGGACCUUCGGGUCUAGUGGCGGACGGGUGAGUAACGCGUGGGAACGUGCCCUUUUCUACGGAAUAGUCUCGGGAAACUGGGAGUAAUACCGUAUAAGCUCGAGAGAGGUAAGAGUUAUCGGGAAAGGAUCGGCCCGCGUUGGAUUAGGUAGUGGGGGGGGUAAUGGCCUGCUAAGCCGACGAUCCAUAGCUGGUUUGAGAGGAUGAUCAGCCACACUGGGACUGAGACACGGCCCAGACUCCUACGGGAGGAAGCAGUGGGGAAUCUUAGACAAUGGGGAAAACCCUAAUCUACACAUGCCGCGUGAUCGAUGAAGGCCUUAGGGUUGUAAAUAUCUUUCAGAUGGGAAGAUAAUGACGGUACCAUCAGAAGAAGCCCCGGCUAACUCCGUGCCAGCAGCCGCCGUAA
This 449-nucleotide ribosomal RNA is filed under the name uncultured bacterium. RNAcentral describes it as "partial 16S ribosomal RNA". It matches the Rfam family "Bacterial small subunit ribosomal RNA", at positions 29 to 523 of the family's 1533-position model. The record is from RNAcentral.